Molecule: long non-coding RNA, 580 nt
Filed under: Pan troglodytes (chimpanzee)
Lineage: Eukaryota; Metazoa; Chordata; Mammalia; Primates; Hominidae
Description: long non-coding RNA NONPTRT007645
Source: RNAcentral
GAUGGGCAGCCAGAGAAAGGUUUUUCUGGCAUUGUCUGCCCAGCUGCUCCAAGCCAGGCUGAUGAAGGAGAUGUCCUCUGUGGUGAGCUGGAGGUUGGAGCCUGAAGAUGGCACAGCUCUGUGAUUCAUCUCCUAUGGUUGUGGCAGCCACGGUGAUGGAGAUGGCAGCUCAACAGGAGCGGUAGGAGGGUACCUGUGGAGGCCAAGUGGUAGGAGCCUUGGAGGGUGGGCAGGUGCAUGGAGGGUGACAGCAGCGCUGGUUCCUUUGGCGUCGGUGCUAAUGGUGGCAGCAGCAGCAAGUCUAAGGGCCAGGAAGGGGGAGUAGGUGGGCUUUGGGGCCCGGCCUGGCCCGGCCUGGGGUGUGUAAGAAGCUGCUGGUUCUGUACCACAGGCCUCAGUGAUGGUGGAGGUGCAGCCAGGGCAAGGAGGAGUCCUCCCCCUUCUCCUGCAGUCUCUGGAGGGUGCCCUCCUUCUGCUGGCAUCUGAGCCAGGUGUGAGUGGCAGCAUUGUUUUGUUCUUAACAGAAUUUAGGGGCUUACUAUUUGUGUAUCUUUUUGUUUUUGGUUGUGAUAAACCUUAA